AGCUCCAAUAGCGUAUAUUAAAGUUGUUGCAGUUAAAAAGCUCGUAGUUGGAUUUCUGGUCGAGGCGUCCGGUCCGCUCCUCACGGAGUGUGUACUAGUUGAUGUCCUUAGCCAUCCUUGUGGAGAGCGUCUUUGGCAUUAAGUUGUCGAGGUCGGGAUCUGCAUCAUUUACUGUGAAAAAUUAGAGUGUUUAAAGCAGGCAAUUGCUGUGAAUACAUUAGCAUGGAAUAAUAAGAUAGGACCUUGGGUCUAUUUUGUUGGUUUGCAACCUAGGGUAAUGAUUAACAGGGACAGUUGGGGGUAUUCGUAUUUAAUUGUCAGAGGUGAAAUUCUUGGAUUUAUGAAAGACGAACUACUGCGAAAGCAUUUACCAAGGAUGUUUUCA
This 385-nucleotide ribosomal RNA is filed under the name uncultured eukaryote. RNAcentral describes it as "SSU rRNA". It matches the Rfam family "Eukaryotic small subunit ribosomal RNA", at positions 587 to 972 of the family's 1831-position model. The record is from RNAcentral.